CUUGUUGGUGGGGUGAUGGCCUACCAAGGCGACGACGGGUAGCCGGCCUGAGAGGGCGACCGGCCACACUGGGACUGAGAUACGGCCCAGACUCCUACGGGAGGCAGCAGUGGGGAAUAUUGCGCAAUGGGCGGAAGCCUGACGCAGCGACGCCGCGUGGGGGAUGACGGCCUUCGGGUUGUAAACCUCUUUCGCCAUCGACGAAGGCCUUUGGGUUGACGGUAGGUGGAGAAGAAGCACCGGCCAACUACGUGCCAGCAGCCGCGGUAAUACGUAGGGUGCGAGCGUUGUCCGGAAUUAUUGGGCGUAAAGAGCUCGUAGGCGGUGUGUCACGUCGAUCGUGAAAACGUACAGCUUAACUGUGCGCGUGCGGUCGAUACGGGCAUCACUGGAGUUCGGCAGGGGAGACUGGAAUUCCUGGUGUAGCGGUGAAAUGCGCAGAUAUCAGGAGGAACACCGGUGGCGAAGGCGGGUCUCUGGGCCGAUACUGACGCUGAGGAGCGAAAGCGUGGGGAGCGAACAGGAUUAGAUACCCUGGUAGUCCACGCCGUAAACGGUGGGCGCUAGGUGUGGGGAUCAUUCCACGGUCUCUGUGCCGCAGCUAACGCAUUAAGCGCCCCGCCUGGGGAGUACA
Molecule: ribosomal RNA, 634 nt
Filed under: uncultured bacterium
Lineage: Bacteria
Description: bacterial SSU rRNA
Rfam family: Bacterial small subunit ribosomal RNA
Source: RNAcentral